UGGGGAAUAUUGGACAAUGGGGGCAACCCUGAUCCAGCAAUGCCGCGUGUGUGAUGAAGGCCUUAGGGUUGUAAAGCACUUUCACUGGUGAAGAUGAUGACGGUAACCAGAGAAGAAGCCCCGGCUAACUUCGUGCCAGCAGCCGCGGUAAUACGAAGGGGGCGAGCGUUGUUCGGAAUUACUGGGCGUAAAGGGCGCGUAGGCGGCUCUUUAAGUUAGGCGUGAAAUCCCCGGGCUCAACCUGGGAACUGCGCUUAAGACUGGAGAGCUAGAAAACGGAAGAGGGUAGUGGAAUUCCCAGUGUAGAGGUGAAAUUCGUAGAUAUUGGGAAGAACACCAGUGGCGAAAGCGGCUACCUGGUCCGGAUUUGACGCUGAGGCGCGAAAGCGUGGGGAGCAAACAGG
Molecule: ribosomal RNA, 404 nt
Filed under: uncultured bacterium
Lineage: Bacteria
Description: bacterial SSU rRNA
Rfam family: Bacterial small subunit ribosomal RNA
Source: RNAcentral